Molecule: ribosomal RNA, 492 nt
Filed under: uncultured bacterium
Lineage: Bacteria
Description: partial 16S ribosomal RNA
Rfam family: Bacterial small subunit ribosomal RNA
Source: RNAcentral
AGUGAACGCUGGCGGUAGGCCUAACACAUGCAAGUCGAACGGCAGCACAGUAAGAGCUUGCUCUUACGGGUGGCGAGUGGCGGACGGGUGAGGAAUACAUCGGAAUCUACUUUUUCGUGGGGGAUAACGUAGGGAAACUUACGCUAAUACCGCAUACGACCUACGGGUGAAAGCAGGGGAUCUUCGGACCUUGCGCGAUUGAAUGAGCCGAUGUCGGAUUAGCUAGUUGGCGGGGUAAAGGCCCACCAAGGCGACGAUCCGUAGCUGGUCUGAGAGGAUGAUCAGCCACACUGGAACUGAGACACGGUCCAGACUCCUACGGGAGGCAGCAGUGGGGAAUAUUGGACAAUGGGCGCAAGCCUGAUCCAGCCAUACCGCGUGGGUGAAGAAGGCCUUCGGGUUGUAAAGCCCUUUUGUUGGGAAAGAAAAGCAGCAGGUUAAUACCCCGCUGUUCUGACGGUACCCAAAGAAUAAUCACCGGCUAACUUCGUG